Molecule: ribosomal RNA, 774 nt
Filed under: uncultured Neocallimastigales
Lineage: Eukaryota; Fungi; Neocallimastigomycota; Neocallimastigomycetes; Neocallimastigales
Description: partial large subunit ribosomal RNA
Rfam family: Eukaryotic large subunit ribosomal RNA
Source: RNAcentral
GUAGUCUCGCACAGAUGCAUAUCAAUAAGCGGAGGAAAAGAAACUAACAAGGAUUCCCUUAGUAACGGCGAGUGAAGCGGGAAGAGCUCAAAUUUGAAAUCUUCAAGGUUUUACCUUGACGAAUUGUAGUUUAAAGAAGUGUUUUCUGUUGAAGUUUUGGUAAAAGUUCUUUGGAAUAGGACAUCAUAGAGGGUGAGAAUCCCGUAUUUGACCAUUAUUUUCAGCUGUGUGAUACACUUUCAAAGAGUCGGAUUGUUUGGGAAUGCAGUCCAAAAUGGGUGGUAAAUUUCAUCUAAAGCUAAAUAUUGGCGAGAGACCGAUAGCGAACAAGUACCGUGAGGGAAAGAUGAAAAGAACUUUGAAAAGAGAGUUAAACAGUAUGUGAAAUUGUCAAAAGGGAAGCGUUUGACACCAGUGUUGUUUUCUCGAAAAUCAAUUAAAAAGAGUUUGAUUUUGUUGUGUAUUGACCUUAACAGCUUGCAUUUCAAUUUUCUUGCUUUUUUUAAUGCACUUUUCGUUUAACAAGUCAACAUCAGUUUCUUUUGUUGUAAAAAGGUCAUUGGAAGGUGGCUUUCUUUUCGGAGAAAGUGUUUAUAGCCUUUGACUCCUGCAAUCGGAGAGACUGAGGUCUGCAGCGUAGAUCCUUCGGGGUUAGAUACAUUUGUGCUAAGUUAUAGCUUUUUAUAGACAACUUGUUGACUAUGAUUAGUCUUGUAGCUUACUCGCUUAUGCUAUUUUACCUACGCUUAGGAUGUUGAGCGCAUGUCUCUCUCU